RNAcentral lists this ribosomal RNA (492 nucleotides) under uncultured bacterium. Its description in RNAcentral is "partial 16S ribosomal RNA". It matches the Rfam family "Bacterial small subunit ribosomal RNA", at positions 29 to 507 of the family's 1533-position model. The record is from RNAcentral.
AGUGAACGCUGGCGGUAGGCCUAACACAUGCAAGUCGAACGGCAGCACAGUAAGAGCUUGCUCUUACGGGUGGCGAGUGGCGGACGGGUGAGGAAUACAUCGGAAUCUACUUUUUCGUGGGGGAUAACGUAGGGAAACUUACGCUAAUACCGCAUACGACCUACGGGUGAAAGCAGGGGAUCUUCGGACCUUGCGCGAUUGAAUGAGCCGAUGUCGGAUUAGCUAGUUGGCGGGGUAAAGGCCCACCAAGGCGACGAUCCGUAGCUGGUCUGAGAGGAUGAUCAGCCACACUGGAACUGAGACACGGUCCAGACUCCUACGGUAGGCAGCAGUGGGGAAUAUUGGACAAUGGGCGCGAGCCUGAUCCAGCCAUACCGCGUGGGUGAAGAAGGCCUUCGGGUUGUAAAGCCCUUUUGUUGGUAAAGAAAAGCAGCAGGUUAAUACCCCGCUGUUCUGACGGUACCCAAAGAAUAAGCACCGGCUAACUUCGUG